UAAUGGGUGAUGGCGUGCCUUUUGUAGAAUGAACCGGCGAGUUACGAUUUGAUGCAAGGUUAAGCAGUAAAUGUGGAGCCGUAGCGAAAGCGAGUCUGAAUAGGGCGUUUAGUAUUUGGUCGUAGACCCGAAACCAGGUGAUCUACCCUUGGUCAGGUUGAAGUUCAGGUAACACUGAAUGGAGGACCGAACCGACUUACGUUGAAAAGUGAGCGGAUGAACUGAGGGUAGCGGAGAAAUUCCAAUCGAACCUGGAGAUAGCUGGUUCUCUCCGAAAUAGCUUUAGGGCUAGCCUCAAGUGAUGAUUAUUGGAGGUAGAGCACUGUUUGGACGAGGGGCCCCUCUCGGGUUACCGAAUUCAGACAAACUCCGAAUGCCAAUUAAUUUAACUUGGGAGUCAGAACAUGGGUGAUAAGGUCCGUGUUCGAAAGGGAAACAGCCCAGACCACCAGCUAAGGUCCCAAAAUAUAUGUUAAGUGGAAAAGGAUGUGGCGUUGCCCAGACAACUAGGAUGUUGGCUUAGAAGCAGCCAUCAUUUAAAGAGUGCGUAAUAGCUCACUAGUCGAGUGACACUGCGCCGAAAAUGUACCGGGGCUAAACAUAUUACCGAAGCUGUGGAUUGUCCUUUGGACAAUGGUAGGAGAGCGUUCUAAGGGCGUUGAAGCAUGAUCGUAAGGACAUGUGGAGCGCUUAGAAGUGAGAAUGCCGGUGUGAGUAGCGAAAGACGGGUGAGAAUCCCGUCCACCGAUUGACUAAGGUUUCCAGAGGAAGGCUCGUCCGCUCUGGGUUAGUCGGGUCCUAAGCUGAGGCCGACAGGCGUAGGCGAUGGAUAACAGG
This 837-nucleotide ribosomal RNA is filed under the name Staphylococcus aureus. RNAcentral's name for it is "partial 23S ribosomal RNA". It matches the Rfam family "Bacterial large subunit ribosomal RNA", at positions 587 to 1429 of the family's 2925-position model. The record is from RNAcentral. Lineage: Bacteria; Bacillati; Bacillota; Bacilli; Caryophanales; Staphylococcaceae.